GUCGAACAAACCAUCAGAUAAACCAUUCAAUAUGUGGCCCAUGCACAUGUAAUCAGCAUUGUCCCAUUUUUGUCUUUCUCGGGUUGCAGCAAUAGAUUCAUUUUCAUUCUCUUCAGGUCUUGGAGUAUCCAAAACAUAAGCAAUCUUCAAAGUUGAUAACAAAAAGUGCAUCUUUUUCUGCCAUCGUCGAAAAUUGCCACCAUCAAAACGAUCAAGUUUAACAAAGUUGGAAGCCAAC
Molecule: long non-coding RNA, 238 nt
Filed under: Gossypium barbadense (sea-island cotton)
Lineage: Eukaryota; Viridiplantae; Streptophyta; Magnoliopsida; Malvales; Malvaceae
Description: long non-coding RNA (GBAR_LNC017763)
Source: RNAcentral